Molecule: long non-coding RNA, 296 nt
Organism: Rosa chinensis
Lineage: Eukaryota; Viridiplantae; Streptophyta; Magnoliopsida; Rosales; Rosaceae
Exons: 3
Source: RefSeq, a predicted model, not a curated record
CGAUGACCAAAGUUCAUUUAUCUAAUGUGCAGCAGUUAUAUAUGCUGGAAAUCAUGUGCUUCACAAUUAUCUGUGAUUCCAGGUCUUGGUUGCAUUGAUAACUUCUCACGCUACAAGCUGCUAGCAAAAGUGCUGAGUUCUUGGACAAUUGAGGAAGUUGAGGAGGGAAACUUCAUAUAUAAGCUUCAAACGUUCUUCAAAUACUCCAUGGCUGGAGGGACGGAAUUUCCACUCUGCAAAGCUAAGUGGCGGUUUUACCCUUCUGUUUCUCUCAUUUACGGGAUGCCAUCAGUCAA